This 560-nucleotide ribosomal RNA is filed under the name uncultured bacterium. RNAcentral's name for it is "bacterial SSU rRNA". It matches the Rfam family "Bacterial small subunit ribosomal RNA", at positions 76 to 644 of the family's 1533-position model. The record is from RNAcentral.
GUGUUUACACGGAAAUAUUUUUUAGUGGCGGACGGGUGAGUAAUACGUAGGUAACCUGCCUCAGAGCGGGGGAUAACUAAAAGAAAUUUUAGCUAAUACCCCAUAAGACCACACUACCACAUGGUAGAGAGGUAAAAGGAGAAAUCCACUUUGAGAUGGACCUACGGCUGAUUAGUUAGUUGGAGUGGUAAUGGCACACCAAGACAAUGAUCAGUAGCCGGGCUGAGAGGCUGGCCGGCCACAUUGGGACUGAGACACGGCCCAGACUCCUACGGGAGGCAGCAGUUGGGAAUAUUGGACAAUGGGGGAAACCCUGAUCCAGUGACGCCGCGUGAAGGAAGAAGGUCUUCGGAUUGUAAACUUAUUUUGUCAGGGAAGAAAAAAAUGACAGUACCUGAAGAAAAAGCACCGGCUAACUAUGUGCCAGCAGCCGCGGUAAUACAUAGGGUGCAAGCGUUAUCCGGAUUUACUGGGUGUAAAGGGCGAGUAGACGGUAAUGUAAGUCAGUUGUGAAAACUAGGGGCUCAACCCCAAGACUGCAACUGAAACUACAUAACUAG